Molecule: non-coding RNA, 23 nt
Filed under: Arabidopsis thaliana (thale cress)
Lineage: Eukaryota; Viridiplantae; Streptophyta; Magnoliopsida; Brassicales; Brassicaceae
Source: RNAcentral
ACCGCGGGUUAAUAUCUAGUGCA